GAUGAACGCUGGCGGCGUGCCUAAUACAUGCCAGUCGAGCGAACGGACGAGAAGCUUGCUUCUCUGAUGUUAGCGGCGGACGGGUGAGUAACACGUGGAUAACCUACCUAUAAGACUGGGAUAACUUCGGGAAACCGGAGCUAAUACCGGAUAAUAUUUUGAACCGCAUGGUUCAAAAGUGAAAGACGGUCUUGCUGUCACUUAUAGAUGGAUCCGCGCUGCAUUAGCUAGUUGGUAAGGUAACGGCUUACCAAGGCAACGAUGCAUAGCCGACCUGAGAGGGUGAUCGGCCACACUGGAACUGAGACACGGUCCAGACUCCUACGGGAGGCAGCAGUAGGGAAUCUUCCGCAAUGGGCGAAAGCCUGACGGAGCAACGCCGCGUGAGUGAUGAAGGUCUUCGGAUCGUAAAACUCUGUUAUUAGGGAAGAACAUAUGUGUAAGUAGCUGUGCACAUCUUGACGGUACCUAAUCAGAAAGCCACGGCUAACUACGUG
RNAcentral lists this ribosomal RNA (497 nucleotides) under uncultured bacterium. Its description in RNAcentral is "partial 16S ribosomal RNA". It matches the Rfam family "Bacterial small subunit ribosomal RNA", at positions 28 to 507 of the family's 1533-position model. The record is from RNAcentral.